This is a long non-coding RNA of Camelina sativa (false flax), 749 nucleotides long. RefSeq lists it as uncharacterized. Lineage: Eukaryota; Viridiplantae; Streptophyta; Magnoliopsida; Brassicales; Brassicaceae. The record is from RefSeq and is a predicted model, not a curated record.
GAUAAAAAAAAAAAAAUUGUUGGUCGAUUGUUUUUUUUGUUCUUCCUCUCCCUCUCUCUCGAAAUUGCGAAUUGACAAUCAAAGGAGAUAGAAUCGGAGAAGAUUUGGGUUGGAUUAGAUUGAAUCGGAGGAGAUUGAAACGACCACGUCUCACUGUUCUUUCUCUUCCUCUCUCUCUCUCUCUCUCUCUCUCUCUCUCUCUCUCUAAACGCAAAUCUCUGGGUUCUCACAAGUAAAGGCAAGAGAUUUUAUGAAGACAGAUGGUUGCGGCAAAAGAGAACAAGUUUCUGACAGUGGCACCUUUCGUGUGCGUGAAGUGAUGAUCUGAAGUUCCGGGAAGCAGGAAGAGGUUGCAUUGUGUUUGAUGCCUUUGCUCACAAUGAUGUCACGGUGGUGUUCAGACAGAAUGUGGUGACUCAACAAUACCAUUAUAAGAAAGGUGACCUUCAUGCCAUAUGUGAUGAAGAAGGGUCGAGGGAGACACUCCAAGAGAAAGAAGCAUUAAGCCCGGUUGUUAAAGCUCUUGUUAACCCCGACGGAGCAAUGAGAGACAUUCGCGAAGGUGAGAAUCUCUUUUUGGGUAGCAGUUCUGAUGUACAUGUACAUAGUGGUUCUCAGUUUUUGUUUAUUCUCAAUGAACAUCCAGAUGUUUACAAAUGGGAUGAGUGAAAGCCAUUCAUCAACGAUUCUCUCAUUUUAAUUUCAAAAAACUAUAUUUUAAAAAAUAAGAAACUCAAAAUUAUAUCUCA